GCGCCCGUGGCCUAAUGGAUAAGGCGUUUGACUUUUAAUUAAGCGAUUGUGGGUUCGAGUCCCACCGGGCGUG
Non-coding RNA from Cicer arietinum (chickpea), 73 nucleotides. Lineage: Eukaryota; Viridiplantae; Streptophyta; Magnoliopsida; Fabales; Fabaceae. The record is from Rfam.